UGGGGAAUUUUGGACAAUGGGCGAAAGCCUGAUCCAGCAAUGCCGCGUGUGUGAAGAAGGCCUUCGGGUUGUAAAGCACUUUUGUCCGGAAAGAAAUCCUUGGCUCUAAUACAGUCGGGGGAUGACGGUACCGGAAGAAUAAGCACCGGCUAACUACGUGCCAGCAGCCGCGGUAAUACGUAGGGUGCAAGCGUUAAUCGGAAUUACUGGGCGUAAAGCGUGCGCAGGCGGUUUGCUAAGACCGAUGUGAAAUCCCCGGGCUCAACCUGGGAACUGCAUUGGUGACUGGCAGGCUAGAGUAUGGCAGAGGGGGGUAGAAUUCCACGUGUAGCAGUGAAAUGCGUAGAGAUGUGGAGGAAUACCGAUGGCGAAGGCAGCCCCCUGGGCCAAUACUGACGCUCAUGCACGAAAAGCGUGGGGAGCAAAACAGGAUUAGAUACCCUGGUAGUCCACGCCCUAAAACGAUGUCAACUAGUUGUUGGGGAUUCAUUUCCUUAGUAACGUAGCUAACGCGUGAAGUUGACCGCCUGGGGAGUACGGUCGCAAGAUUAAAACUUAAAGGAAUUGACGGGGUCAUAGCUG
This 582-nucleotide ribosomal RNA is filed under the name uncultured bacterium. RNAcentral's name for it is "partial 16S ribosomal RNA". It matches the Rfam family "Bacterial small subunit ribosomal RNA", at positions 355 to 932 of the family's 1533-position model. The record is from RNAcentral.